Molecule: long non-coding RNA, 789 nt
Organism: Felis catus (domestic cat)
Lineage: Eukaryota; Metazoa; Chordata; Mammalia; Carnivora; Felidae
Exons: 2
Source: RefSeq, a predicted model, not a curated record
AUUAGUAAAUUGGUCCCUUUGGGAAUCUAAACUGAGGCGCACGUAACACUACAUCUUGGAAUUCAUAAUUCUUUCAUAAUCACCUCCCAUUUGGCAUCUGUGAACUCACAAAGGCAGGUUUCCUCAGUGAAGAUCUGUUCCGAGUCCAAUAUUUACAUAAACAAUUUCUGUUUGGAGUGCAGGUUCCUUCAUGCACCAAUGACUACUCCAUCUAUGUAGGCCUCUAAAUUUCAUGUUAAAUAAAUUUUAGCACUACUGAAAUACUUCAAAAAAUCUUCACUGUUUUUCAGCAUGAAAAGUCAUGUAGACCAUCUCGAGAGGUAUUUUGCGAAUUCUUAAUGGAGUAAAUGCAAGAACAAUUUGAAUUUCUAAUCACCAGAAAAGCAGGAGACAAAUCCCAGUCGAGGCUCAUCCUAUAACACAUCUGACGAGUAUUCUUCAAAACUGUCAAGAUCAUCAAAAAUCAAGGAGAGUCUGAGAAACUGUCACAGCCCAGAGAAGCCUAAGGAGACAUGACAACUAAAUGGAAUGUGGGAUCCUGGAUGGGAUCCUGGAACAGAAAAAGGACAUUAGGGAAAAACUAAUGAAAUCCGAUUAAAGAACUGAGUUUAGUUAAUAGUCAUGUAUCAAUAUUGGUUCAUUAGUUGUGACAAGCAUGCCGGAAUAAUAGAAGAUACUAAAUUAGGUGAAACGGGGUACAAAGUGUGUGGGAAUUCUCCAAAUUCUCUUUACAACUUUUCCAUAACUUCCAUAAAUUUUAUCCUAAAAUAAAAAGCCUAUUUGAAAUCA